Molecule: unclassified non-coding RNA, 5236 nt
Filed under: Leishmania donovani
Lineage: Eukaryota; Euglenozoa; Kinetoplastea; Trypanosomatida; Trypanosomatidae
Description: gene:LdHU3.21.1020(CDS-product:Temperature_depend ent_protein_affecting_M2_dsRNA_replication_putative)
Source: RNAcentral
CUGAGAAGCGCUCCGCACGUCUCACCUCUUCUCCUUCUCUCUCUCCCCCUUUCUGCCUCUGUCUCUGUAUGCGUGCUUGUGUGCGUGCUUUCUACUUUUGCGACACGACCCGCUUUCUUCUUCGAAGACACACACACACACACACACACACACAGGCAGACGAACAAAGGAAAACGGAAGAGAGUGCGAAGAGAACAGAGAGACGCUCUCACACCCUUCUCCCCUCUCCUCCCCUCUCCUCCCCUCUAACCCCCUCCCCUUCCCCACCCACCCACCCCCACAAGCACACACACACACACACACACACCCACACACCCACCCACCCCCACAAGCACACACACUACACCCAUCUCCCCUCCCUCCCCCACGCCACGCACAGACGAGGUCCAGUCGGGGGACCGACGCCAAAAGGGAAAACACCGACAAAAAGGAAACGAGCUUAAGCACAACAACAAAGCCGGCCGAAGAAAAAAAGAAAACACACACAAAAAAACGGCAUAACUAGUUAUGCCGCCUCGUAUGCAUCGCGGCGGUGGUGGCCAGGGCCCCGCCCCGCAGCAGCAGCAGGCACCGCCUCCACAGCAGCCCCCCCAACAGCAGCAACAGCAAGCGCCGCCACAGCAGCAGCAGCAAGGCUACGGUAAUGGCGCAGGUGGACCGCAGUCGCAUCUGCACGUGUUUCAUCACCACGCCGGCUACAAUGACGUUGGCCGCGGCGGAAUGCCGCCACCGCAGCACGGCGGCAACAGCGGAUCGAACAACAUGAGCAGCAUGAUGUAUGGUGGCGGCAGUGGCGGUGGCAACGCGCCGACCUCGCCGGUAUACGGCGGCGGCGGUGCGGCUUACAGCAACAACAAAAGUAGUAUCCCUCCCCACAUGAUGUCCCCAUCUCCGCACCCGCAGAUUGUGGGGAUGGGGAACGAGUACGCCCCCCGGAUGCAGUCGUCUCCCUAUCCACAGCAGCAGCAGCAAGGUGGCGGCGCGAGCACGCCAAACAGCAUCGGCCGCCGCGUCCGCACACCUGGACCGUCAAACAUGGGGCCGCAGCCUCAACAGCAGCAGCUGCCUCCUCCACCGCCGCAGCAGCCGUACUACGGUGGCAAUCAGGGUGGAGGGAUGAGCUACAACCCGAAUAUGCGCGGCUCUGCCCCACCGCCGCCGCCGCCGCACAUGGAGCCGUCGCCAAGCUUCGUCAAUAGCGCGCCGCAGCAGCCGCAGCCCGGAAUGAUGCGCGGGGAUGGCGGCUAUGGCCCGGAUGUGGACAACAGUCCACCGCCGCAGAACAACGGCUAUCGUGCUGGCCAGCCGCCUCCGCCGCCGCAGCAACAUCAGCAGCAGAUGCACAUGCAGUCAUCUCCGCUGCAGCCGCAGCACUACCAAGGCAACGGUGGCUACGGUGGUGGUGGUGGCCGUGGGAUGGGAGGUGGGAUGCAGAACCCGAACAUGCAGAUGCAACCACCCCCACAGCAGCAGCAGCAAAUGAUGGGGGGCGGCAGUGCAUCGAACAGCGCAAACCGUGGCAUCAUGGGACCGAUGGGAGGCAGCAAACAAAUGCAGCAGGGGCCGCCGCCCCCAUUGCAGCAGCAGCAACAGGCGAUGCCGCCGCCGCCGCAACAGCAGCAACCCGGCAUGAGCAGCAAUUGGGGCUCGCCGCAGCCACCGCCGACGCACAUGCAGCCAAACGCGUCUCCGCCGCCGCAGGGGCAGCCACAGAUGGUUGGAAUGCAAUACGGCGGCGGUGGCCCGGUGCCGAUGGUGGGCCGUGGCCGUGUGCCUGGCGCGCGCAUGGGUGGCGGCGGGAUGGGACCGAUGGGCAACAACAUGGGUGCCCCGCCGCCGCCGCUACAGCAGCAGCGUCAGCCGCUACAGCCGCCGAGUAUGAUGGGUGGUGUUGGCGGCCCGCAGCAGAUGCCGGGUGGAGGUAACAUGAACCCGCAGAUGAUGAUGCCGCCACCACCGCAAGGUGGACAGGGCUCCAUGAUGCAGCAGAGCGGCGGUGUUCCGGGCAUGUACGGUGGCAGCAUGGAUGCCAACAUGAUGGGCGGGAUGGGUGGCCCACCGAUGCCGGGGUACAUGGACGCUGACCCGCGUGGCGAUCUCGCCCCGCAGCAGACCCUCUACGAGUUCCUCAUGGAGAAGCGGCUGCUGCGCAAAACAACCCUUGGUACCUUCUUCCCUGAAGACUACGACCCGAAGUGCGAUAGCCGCAUCACGAUUGCGGUGGACGGCAACUACAUGAUUACUAACCUCCGCGCGCAGCUGCAGCGCACCGACCCGCUGUGGUUCCUGCACUCCUGCCUGCCCGACUGCCUGCUGUCUCUCGUGCACAAGCACGUGGAGCAGAUGCGCGCGCACCACCUGGAGCCGCUAUGGGUGCUGAACGGCAUUAGUAUCAACGGCGAUGUGGAGGCGUUCCUGCCGAGCCCGGACGAGCUGCACUCGCGCGAUGCAGUGUGGGCGAAGCUGAACGAGGGCAUCGAGCUCCCCACGCAGGACGAGAUCACCGAGGCCUUCGAGACGUCGUCGGCCGUCGGCGAGGACGUGCUGCGGGCCAUUCAGCGCUUCCUGCGCACGGAGGAGAACGUGGUCUGCGUGACGGCGCCGUUCCUCAACUGGUGCCAGAUGUGCACCCUCCACAAGGAGGGCAUCGCGCAGCUGCUGAUGGGCCCUCCAGAGAUGCUAAUGGUGCCCUACGACGACAUGAAGGUGAUUGCGGAGGUGAACCUGCAGACGAGCGAGGUGGCCUAUUACGACCGCGACGAGGUGCUGCGCGAGCUGUUCCCGCGCUACGUGACGGAGACGUCCACCGCCGCGGCUGGCGAUCGCUUUCUCGACUUCGGUUUGCUCAUCGCCUCGCACCCGGCCAUCACGACCGCCCACGCGAGUGUGCAACUGUCGACGCAGAGCAUCUACGAGGAGCUGUCGACGCCGCACCCAAGCUUCAACACCCUUCGCGAGUUCAUUGAUCAGUACGAGUACCCGCAGAACCAGAAUGAGCGCCCUAAUCUUGAGAAGCUGAAGCACUCAAAGGGCCGCACGUACAUCCAGUACAGUCCCGUCUUCUCCAAUCAGGUAACGUCGGAGUCUUCGCUCGUGUACUUCAAGCGCAUCCUAGACCCCAGCCUGACGAACGCGAACAUGCCCAACAAUCUGUCUGGCGUGUUCGGCUACCUCGUGCCGCUGUCCCUCUUCUACUUUCAGUUCACCGGCCUGCUCUCGGUCGGCCUCAUGACCGCCGUCACCCAGCUCUACAUCCGCGAUGAGUUCCCUGUCGCCGACACAGAGGAGUAUCACCACUUGCUGCACCCUCUCAUGGCACUGCGCGGGCAGAUAAUCUCGCAGAUGGUCUCUCGCAUUAAGGCGGAUGCGCACGGCCAGCGCCUCGGCAAGAUCUCAUGGGUGCGGUGGUUUGACUCGAUCCUGAUGAGCGUUCUGCCGCCUGAUCGUCUCAUCGUGUUGGACGAGUGGAAUCUCAAGAACUCGCCAGAGCUUGCCAGCGUGCCGGAUGACCAGCUGGAGAAUAUCGAUAUGUCCAUGGUGCUCUCCCUCAAGUCGUCGGUAAUGUGCAUCCCGGCGCCGCAGUUGCCGGCCAACGCAUCCCCUCGUGAUGCACCGAUCUUGUACCACGGCAAAAAGGAGACCUUCUUCGCGAUUUUGCUCAAGACGUUCGACUUUGUCGGCUAUUUCUCCCACUCGGCGGAUCCGAUGGAUGGCGCUGAGCUGGCGUCGGAGCCUGUGCAGGCGAUGGUGCAGGGCCAAUCCGCCCCUGAUGAUCAGAGCAACGGGCCGGACGGUGGUAAGGGCGACCUCGUCGACAGCUCCUCGGACCCGAACAUGAGCGAGCAGCGUGUCUUCUUCACAGCUUACCUUAGCAUCUCCCUCGAGCACUGCCCACAGGAGUUCCAGUGCGCACUGGUGCGCUUCACCGAGCUUGUGCGCGUCAGCACUAUCAACUCCAUUGCUUUCACCUUUGCCGACACCAUCGAACUGCAGCACGACGAGGACGGCGCGCUGGCCGACCCACCAGAGGUGUUGCUGGCGACGCGCAUCGCCUGCCUUGUGUCAGUCCCGUAUGAGCAGAAAACGGACGAGGAGUCUGAGUUCGAGUGGGCCCCGGUGUACAGCCGCCAGCUGUGCGCCUUCACCGUCAUGUCGCGUGUCAUGAACCGCAGCUUGCGAGUGCUGACGGAGGCCAUCGCUGCCGCGCUGUUCCUCUCCGGAUUUAGUGACUGCUCUUUGGAAGACUACGACAGUAUGACACCACUGCUCCCCUUCGGCGACGUGCCCGGCUCACUCGGCGGCCUGCUCCUGCACUACGUGCUCGUCUUUCCGCCCGACUACGAGGCGAAUUGCCAGACGCCGGAGGAGCGCUGCCGCCUGCUUGAGACGAAGUUCAAAGCAAUCCCGAACAUCCAGACCCAGCUGCGCCGCGUCAUGGAGUUCACCUUUCACGCGCUCUACCUGCUCAAUGUUUACAUCCUGCGCGACCCGAGCAUUGUGAGCUCGCCUGAGCUCGUCGAGACUGACGUCGUUGCGAACGCUCUCAAUCUGCUGCAUGAGAAGUGGGUGCUGCACCUUGACGGGCCGGCCCCGGAGGACGUGCAUGGGUACUUCCAAUUCGAGUAGCGAGCGGAAGUGAGGGAGUUGAUUUGGUGGACCUUAGUUGAGCGAAUUUUUUGUUCUCACCAUGCGAGGAUGACAGAAAAGAGGGAGAGCGGCGGGGAGCGUGAGGAGGAAGGGGAAGAGGAGGCAGGCGGGGGCGGGCGGGCGGCGUGACGGCGUGACGGCGGGAGGAGGGGUGAGGACGUUUACACGCCUCCUUCUCUCUCACUCCCAUGCCCCUCCUCUUGUGCCCUUUCUCCCCAUAUCAGCGUUGCUGCAAUUGUGACUGUUUCUCCUUUCCCUUUUCUUUUGUUUUUCGUUUUAGGACUAGUUUUAGAUCUCGCCAUUGGGCUAGCUGUGCGCGUGUAUGCAUGUGAGUUCAGGGUGUGGGUAAUACGUCGGCGCUGAUGCUAUUCUUUGUCUUGUCGAGCACAUCAUCAUUCCGCUCUCCCUCCCGCUUUCCCUCCCGCUCUCCUUCCCUCCCACACCCACAGACACGCGGACACGUCAGCUGAGGCCGUGUGCGUGUUGCUUUCUCUGCCAGCUCCUUUGAGUCUCUCUCCCUUCUCACAUAUGCAUUCCCUCGCCUCUUCCAUCUUCCCUCAUCUUUCUCUCGCUCUCUGAGUCUGUCCAG